UCCCGGAACUCGGAGGAGUCUGCUGAA
RNAcentral lists this non-coding RNA (27 nucleotides) under Homo sapiens (human). The record is from RNAcentral. Lineage: Eukaryota; Metazoa; Chordata; Mammalia; Primates; Hominidae.